AACGACUCUCGGCAACGGAUAUCUCGGCUCUUGCAUCGAUGAAGAACGUAGCGAAAUGCGAUACUUGGUGUGAAUUGCAGAAUCCCGCGAACCAUCAAUUCUUUGAACGCAAGUUGCGCCCGAAGCCAUUCGGCCGAGGGCACGCCUGCCUGGGCGUCG
RNAcentral lists this ribosomal RNA (159 nucleotides) under Rhexia nuttallii. RNAcentral describes it as "5.8S ribosomal RNA". It matches the Rfam family "5.8S ribosomal RNA". Rfam says of the family: 5.8S ribosomal RNA (5.8S rRNA) is a component of the large subunit of the eukaryotic ribosome. It is transcribed by RNA polymerase I as part of the 45S precursor that also contains 18S and 28S rRNA. Functionally, it is thought that 5.8S rRNA may be involved in ribosome translocation. Lineage: Eukaryota; Viridiplantae; Streptophyta; Magnoliopsida; Myrtales; Melastomataceae. RNAcentral also lists the same sequence under 1 other name. The record is from RNAcentral.